CUCCCUUUUGAGAAACGCUAACUUUGCGAGGUUGUGUGUGUGUCUCUCUUUUCUGAGAAACCUAAUUGUUGCCUUCUCUCUUUGUCGCGCUCUAUCUUUUCUGAGAAAACUAACUAUUGCGGCAUUAUAUAUCCAUAUCCUAUAUGCCCAAACUUCUGCAGAUUGUUCUUGGCAUAAAGCUUGGAAUGAAUGCACAAGAGGUAAUCUCCAAGGUGAAAGCUCUUUCUGAUGUCGAGGGAUUGUGUGUAUCUUUUGCUGGUACUCGUGGUUCUUCAGAUGCUGUCCUUGCAAUCAAGGUUUUCCUGGUGAUGUGAAGGUAAGGGUAACAUAUAUGAUACUUGGGGAAAGCAAGUUAAAUGUGAUCAUGAAAGCCUUAGCUGUUGGCAAGGCCACCCCUAUCAAUUUGGCUCAGCACGCCUACUGGAAUCUUGAUGUGCAUAACAGUGGUGAUAUCUUAUCCAACAUAAUACAAAUCUUUGGUUCUCACAUUACUCCCGUUGACAAGGAACUCAUCCCAACCGGCAAAAAGUGUAGUUCAUUAAAAGUGACAAUUCAGAACCAUAUUCAAGAUUGUGCAUCUUCUCCACUGAGUGCUCAGGCAGGUUCAGGUGAACCCAUCCAAGUGCCACCCAAAGGGACUAUCCUAUGAUCUAUCUAAUUUUGGAAGAGAGUCCAUGGUUCUCAUUUAUCUUACCGGGUGAACCAAAGAAGAAAAUCCUAGGAGAGAAUUUACCCUUCUGGCUUCCCCGGUUCUUGACUGUCUUGCAACCAAGUCAUUAAAUCAUGGGGUUGUUGAAGCAUAGGAGUUAAUCUCUCAGCUUGACUGAGAAAGGCAAACUGCAUUUUUUUUUUUUUUUGAGAGCCAUGAAACAAUUUGUAUUCAUACUGUAUUUUUCAGAAAAUGGUAAAGGCACACAAUGUGAUGUAUUUGGCAAAGCCCAACAGUGCCCAACAAUGCUCUAGUAUAUUACCUGUAAAGGAAUGUUAAUUCGAUCAUUUGGAGCUUAACUAUAAAAGGAGUAUGUAAGAAUACA
Macadamia integrifolia is the source of this 1034-nucleotide long non-coding RNA. RefSeq lists it as uncharacterized. The transcript is spliced from 3 exons. The record is from RefSeq and is a predicted model, not a curated record. Lineage: Eukaryota; Viridiplantae; Streptophyta; Magnoliopsida; Proteales; Proteaceae.